GGAGAAAUGAAUAACCCAAGAAUGUCCUGGCUGAGUCUCCAUGAGAUGAUCAGCCCCGUGGAGGGUAGCCUGAGAUCUUGGACAAAGAUGGUGGCGCUGCUGGAGCCAGGAAGAUGUGGAGAGGACAGCAGAGUGUUGAGGCUUUGACAUGAAGAGUAAGGAGGUGGAGACCAGGUCAGAGAGAGCGGGCACCAUUUUCCUGACAUGGGUGGACGUUUGAUGGGAGAACAGGAAGCUGCAGCACUCUGGAGUGUAGACAGUGACCUUGGGCACAGAGAGACCUUACAGCUUCCUUGAGACGGGAGAUCAGGGGCUGUUUGUCUGCACGGUGAUUUGGUGGUGGUCCUGAAACCGAAGAGGCAGAGGAGCCGGUAAGCAGCAAUGUCCAGUAACCAGAAAGAGAUUCGAGGUGGGAAAGGGUCUGGAGGUCAAAGCAGCUCAGCAGGACCAGGACCUGGUACAUUUUUAAGGCAAGUGGGAGAGAAAGGAACACACACAUGCACCCCAAGACCGUGGGCUCAGAUGCCCUUGUGCCCUUCCCUGAUUCUGCCCCCAAACUGUGUAAGCAGUCAGCCCUGUCCGGGAGGAAUCUCACUAGCACACCCUUGCCCUCUUCGCCUUGGUUGGGGAUCCAGCCUCCAGACCUGUGCAUCACUUCACAGUUCAGUGCUCUGGCUUUCUCCUGCCCUCAGCCUACCAUGGUCUGCUGUUUGGGGACAAAGCACCUGCCCUGUGAGGUGGGUGACACCAAGCUUGCACCAGCGGCCCCGUGGACAGCACCUCACCGGGCCUCCCAAGGGUAGAACCCUAGAUCCCGGCGUCUCCAUGUGGAAAGCAGCCCAGCCAGUGAGCAAGAGCACUGGAGGCCUUAGCUCGUGGCUGGAUGCUGGGCUUUCUUCCCUCUAGCUCUGCUCCCCCCAACCCUCGCCUGGCCUCUUGGUGACACCCCAGACUGUUCUGUGUGCCUGCUGUGAACCCCGCUUCCUUUCGAGAUGAAUUCCAGCGCAGCUCUGCUCAUUCACCCCAGCUGCCUACCACAGAGAAGCCCGGGCAGCUUCCUCUCGGUGUCCCCACUCGGAGGCCCAGGGACAGGCGUUGAUACUCACCACGGCCAGGAGAUGCUCCGGUUUGAACAAGGGCACCCUGUGCCAGGCGUUUGACAACUUGUAGCCCAAGAUGAAGGCACUAGAGCAGUAAGGGAGGAAGCACCAUCCCUCGACGCUGCUUGUCUGUGCAGCGCAGACUGACUUUAAGUCAUUCCUGAGGUCAUGGAAAGUGCAGCUGGUGUUUUCGAGGGCGGAGGGACGCCUCGGGAAGGAGGACCGGCGAGCUAUGCGGCGAGCAAAGAAGAGUGCUCACCUGAAGUCUGGCUCACAGGGAGCCUGUGCCUCUGCAGUGCAGCCCCAGUUCUCCACCUCACCGUGGAUGCUCCUACGGGCCUCAAGCUUCAUGUACACCCAGGGCAAUGCUAGAUGUCGUCACAUAGCUGCUCCCAUUUGCAUCUCAAAAAAACAGCCCAAGGCAUCCCGGCUUACCCUGGAGCUGAGGAAUGACUUUCUACUUCCACUGGGGACUGAGUCUGUCUGCAGGAAACACGGCACAGGUCACAAACAGGUUCCACCGAUGCCGCCAGCUCUGAUAUGGGAGCUGUAGACUCCAUGUUCUGGAUGAAAGUGAUUUGGGGACGACAGAGCCAGCGCUGAACCUCAGGAGGGCAGUGGAGGACAGCAUG
Long non-coding RNA from Heterocephalus glaber (naked mole-rat), 1732 nucleotides. Lineage: Eukaryota; Metazoa; Chordata; Mammalia; Rodentia; Bathyergidae. The record is from Ensembl.